This is a long non-coding RNA of Nannospalax galili (Upper Galilee mountains blind mole rat), 1498 nucleotides long. RefSeq lists it as uncharacterized. Lineage: Eukaryota; Metazoa; Chordata; Mammalia; Rodentia; Spalacidae. The transcript has 5 exons. The record is from RefSeq and is a predicted model, not a curated record.
GGGGCCUGAAGCGCCGCCGGCCUCGCCUACCGUGUAUCACCCGCGGGCCUAUGCUGGUGCCCCUCCUUCAGGGCCUGGCGGGGUGCGGUCUGGAAAUUGUGGUAGCGCGAUGGGAAGGACAGUUCUGUGGACACCGGAGACAGGCGCACUUGAAGUUAGUCCCAGCCCAGAGGAAAACCUGUGCAGGGAAGUAGUAGGCUGACUCACAUAAAAUCAGCAAGUUCUGCAGAUGGAAGAACCUUUGAAGAAUUAGAGCCACCCACUGUUGCAAAUGGAGAAAUUAAGACUUCUGAUUUGGCCAAACUCAUCAAUCAAGUCUGAUCAGGAAGCUGUGCUUCAUGGGAGAAGACUGACUAUCAAGGGUUUAAAAAGGAACAAUAUCCAUGUGUGACCAAUUGUGAUACUUGAUAUUAGUCUCUGACUGCUGCAAAGUGAGCUUCUUUGUGCUGGAGAUUGAACUCAGUGCCUCACACAAGCAGGGACCUUGGAAUGACCAAUCUUGAUAGGUGACUUGACUGAAUUGAGAAGUGCCAAGGAGAUUAGUAAAGCACACGUCGGGGUAUGAUGUGAGGGUGUUUCCACAUAGUGGGGGAAGUUCUGUCCCCAAAUAUGAGUGGCACCACCCAAUAGGUGAUGGCCCUGAUAAAACAAAAGAGGAAGAGAAAGAAGUCAGCUAGUCUGGAUAUUUUCUCUCUUUUUCCUGGCCAACCUAAGUGAGCUGCUCUGCUGAGCCAUGGCUUUCCCAUCAUGAAUGAAUGAAGCUUCCAAGACUAUGAGCCCAAGUCAAUCUCUCCUCCGUAACAGCAAGCUAACAUAAAACUUCUGUAUUGCUCAUUCAAAAAAGGUCCCAAAUGCUCUCCUAAUCUCUAAGUCCUUUAUUUCUCUUUUGCCUUUUUGAAUUAGUAACAGGCACCAUGUUGAUUAGAAGUGAUCAGGAGUGUGUUCUUGCCUCCCAUUCUUGAGGGAAAACAUUCAGCUCCUUAUCACUGUUUGAGUUUUUUUUUUUUAAUUGCAUUCUUCUGUAGAUGUAACAAUGUAAUACUGUGUUCAUCUAAACAAAGUUCUCAUAAAAAGUAAGUGCAGUAGGAAAUUGUGACUGGAUGAACUGCAAAUAGGAGCAGGAAACCUGUUUUUUACUUUUAAGACAGCUUUUUAUAGGACAGGCUGAUCUUGAAUUCACAAUACUCCUGCCUUGGCUUCCCAAAUGUUAUGAUUACAGAUGUACAUUACACCACCUAGCUUAGGACUGGGGAAAAAAUUAAAUUCUUCUCUUCCAAAGAGAGAAGUCAAAAGAUUAUACCUAAAAACCCAGAAAAUAUCCACUUAUAUGUGUUACUUAGAAGUAAGCUGAGAACCCACAGUCACCAGCACAGGGAGGUGGAAGCCCUGAGGCUGCAGCGUUCAUGUGCAUCUCGAAGCCUCAUUGAUGUUUGCAUGCAAUGAUUCUUGACCUUUGUAAGCAAAGAUUCUGUGACUUUUUGGUGUUUAUGUAUAACUG